CGUGUGGUGGUGGGAAGGGGAAAUGGAAAAAGAAAAGGCCUUCUCUACUUAGAUGCUCAAAUGCUGCAAUGUCAGGCAGAAGGCCACAUUCCCAGUUGGCAGUGUGUGAAGGAGUUUGAACGCUUUCACAAACACUUGGUUUGCUGUUGGCCCUAGUUUAUCUAAGGGUCCCUUCUUGGAAGUGAGGCAGAGAUUGAAUUCAGUGGCAGUUGAAAACCAAGACUUAAUCCUAAGAAAGGGCACAUAGCCCCUGGCACAUUGCACACACCAUCACAUGCUGUCUUGUUGAUUUUUACCGGGUGUGUGUGUGUGUUUUCACAGGAAAAGGUUACUUACUGGCUAAUCCGUUCAAGGCUCCAAAACUGCACCAGCUCAGCCAACACAAUUUGAUUGGAAGGUUGUGCCUUUAUAAGAAAGAGAAGCUGGAUCCAGGUGAACCGUCAGUUUGUGACAUCCCUCCAAGAGUCUUGAGAAUCUUCCUUUCCUCUUCAGUGAUCAUUAUGAAAUUCUGGGUCCUCCUUUUGGUUGUUUGGGUUGCUUUUGCCAUGGUGUCCGCACAACCAUAUGAAGGUGAACAAGGGACCGAUCCUAUACCUGCAGAGCAUGAUCCUCGCCAUAGCUCUGUGAAUCAAGACCGUAUUCUAUGCAGUCUCUUAGGAAUUUGUGGACUAUAGUAGGAUUUGGAUGUCAACAAUGACAGAUUUGGUUGCUGAAGGAUGAUACCAAUAAAGUAGAUAUUUUAGU
Long non-coding RNA from Zootoca vivipara (common lizard), 744 nucleotides. RefSeq lists it as uncharacterized. The record is from RefSeq and is a predicted model, not a curated record. Lineage: Eukaryota; Metazoa; Chordata; Lepidosauria; Squamata; Lacertidae.